RNAcentral lists this long non-coding RNA (302 nucleotides) under Androctonus crassicauda. The record is from RNAcentral. Lineage: Eukaryota; Metazoa; Arthropoda; Arachnida; Scorpiones; Buthidae.
CCGAUGGCCGACCAUAUCCCUUCGAGGUGAAAGCCUCGUUGAACCAAGCUGUACAUGUGCUUUACGCGUGGGUCAGAUGGUUUUUUUUUACCGAGCCCAACCUGGCCGAAAAACUGGAGUUUCGGGACUCGGAAUCGAAUCUGGAUGCCGCCAGACGAUGAGCGGAGGAUGGCGCCAAACCAUCCAUUUACAUAGAUGGAAAAUUUCCGUUAACUUGAAAAAAUAUUUAUUAAAUAGGCUUUUGAAAGAAAAAAUGACCACUAAGCACUAUUAUGGUGCAGAAAUAGCUAAUUUGAUGACAG